GUACACGCUGUGACUAGCAUAUCAAUAAGCGGAGGAAAAGAAACUAACAAGGAUUCCCCUAGUAACGGCGAGUGAAGCGGGAAGAGCUCAAAUUUGAAAUCUUAGAGGGUUUCCCUUUACGAAUUGUAGUUUAAAGAAGUGUUUUCUGUUGAGGUUUUGGUAAAAGUCCUUUGGAAUAGGACAUCAUAGAGGGUGAGAAUCCCGUAUUUGACCUUUACUUUCAACUUUGUGAUACACUUUCAAAGAGUCGGAUUGUUUGGGAAUGCAGUCCAAAAUGGGUGGUAAUUUCAUCUAAAGCUAAAUAUUGGCGAGAGACCGAUAGCGAACAAGUACCGUGAGGGAAAGAUGAAAAGAACUUUGAAAAGAGAGUUAAACAGUACGUGAAAUUGUCAAAAGGGAAGCGUUUGACACCAGUGUUGUUUUUCUGAAAAUCAAUUAAAGAACUGUUUAUGCUAAGCUGUUUAGACUUUAUCAGCUAUCUGUUUAGUUUUGAGCUUUUCUUUAAUGCACUUUUCAGUUAACAAGUCAACAUCAAUUUCUUUUGCUGUAAAAAAGCUUGAGGAAGGUGGCCUGAGAUUCGUCUUAAGUGUUUAUAGCCUCUUGCCUAUGCAGUCGGAGAGAUUAAGGUCUGCAGCGUAGAUCCUUCGGGGCUAAAUGCAUUUGUGCUAAGUUAUAGCAUUUUAUAGACAACUUGUUGACUAUGAUUUGUCUUGUAGCUUACUCGCUUAUGUUAUUUUACCUACGCUUAGGAUGUUGAAGUCAUCGUAUCGCG
Molecule: ribosomal RNA, 772 nt
Filed under: uncultured Neocallimastigales
Lineage: Eukaryota; Fungi; Neocallimastigomycota; Neocallimastigomycetes; Neocallimastigales
Description: partial large subunit ribosomal RNA
Rfam family: Eukaryotic large subunit ribosomal RNA
Source: RNAcentral